RNAcentral lists this ribosomal RNA (252 nucleotides) under uncultured bacterium. RNAcentral describes it as "partial 16S ribosomal RNA". It matches the Rfam family "Bacterial small subunit ribosomal RNA", at positions 524 to 776 of the family's 1533-position model. The record is from RNAcentral.
UACGGAGGAUGCGAGCGUUAUCCGGAUUUAUUGGGUUUAAAGGGUGCGUGGGCGGAUUUUUAAGUCAGCGGUAAAAUGUCCGGGCUCAACCCGGGCCGGCCGUUGAAACUGGGGAUCUUGAGUGGGCGAGAAGUAUGCGGAAUGCGUGGUGUAGCGGUGAAAUGCAUAGAUAUCACGCAGAACUCCGAUUGCGAAGGCAGCAUACCGGCGCCCGACUGACGCUGAGGCACGAAAGCGUGGGGAUCGAACAGG